RNAcentral lists this ribosomal RNA (2896 nucleotides) under Clostridioides difficile. RNAcentral's name for it is "bacterial LSU rRNA". It matches the Rfam family "Bacterial large subunit ribosomal RNA". Lineage: Bacteria; Bacillati; Bacillota; Clostridia; Peptostreptococcales; Peptostreptococcaceae. The record is from RNAcentral.
UCAAGUUAUUAAGGGUGCAGGGCGGAUGCCUUGGCACUAGGAGCCGAUGAAGGACGUGAUAAGCUGCGAUAAGCUUCGGGGAGUUGCACGUAAACUUUGAUCCGAAGAUUUCCGAAUGAGGAAACUCACUUAGAGUAAUGUCUAAGUAUCAUUAAGUGAAUACAUAGCUUAAUGAGGGGAACUCAGGGAACUGAAACAUCUAAGUACCUGAAGGAAGAGAAAGAAAUUCGAUUCCGUAAGUAGCGGCGAGCGAACGCGGAUUAGCCCAAACCAAUAAAGUUUUCUUUAUUGGGGUUGCGGACAUAUCAUAACGAAGAGGUAUCGUAAUUGAAGAGGUUUGGAAAGACCCACCACAGAAGGUAAUAGUCCUGUAUGUUAAACGAGAAGACUUUAGAUAUGAUCCAGAGUACCACGGGACACGUGAAACCCUGUGGGAAGCAGGAGGGACCACCCUCCAAGGCUAAAUACUACCUAGUGACCGAUAGCGUAUAGUACCGUGAGGGAAAGGUGAAAAGAACCCCGGGAGGGGAGUGAAAUAGAACCUGAAACCCUGCACUUACAAGCUGUGGAAGCACAUUUCUUGUGUGACCGCGUACUUUUUGUAGAACGGGCCAACGAGUUACGUUAAGUAGCAAGGUUAAGCACUUAAGGUGUGGAGCCGUAGCGAAAGCGAGUUUUAACUGAGCGUUCAGUUACUUGACGUAGACCCGAAACCGGGCGACCUACCCAUGAGCAGGAUGAAGCGAAAGUAAAAUUUCGUGGAGGUCCGAACCCACGAGCGUUGAAAAGCUCGGGGAUGACUUGUGGGUAGCGGUGAAAUUCCAAUCGAGCCCGGAGAUAGCUGGUUCUCCCCGAAAUAGCUUUAGGGCUAGCCUCAAGGUGAGAGAUACGGAGGUAGAGCACUGAAUGUCCUAGGGGGUAUUGCACCUACCGAAGACUAUCAAACUCCGAAUGCCGUCAUCUUAUACUUGGGAGUCAGACUGUGGGUGAUAAGAUUCAUAGUCGAAAGGGCAACAGCCCAGAUCGUCAGCUAAGGUCCCUAAAUGUAAGUUAAGUGGUAAAGGAUGUGGGAUUGCACAGACAACCAGGAUGUUGGCUUAGAAGCAGCCACUCAUUCAAAGAGUGCGUAAUAGCUCACUGGUCGAGUGAUCCUGCGCCGAAGAUUUCCGGGGCUAAAACUUACUACCGAAGCUACGGCAUCAGUAAUGAUGGGUAGGGGAGCUUCCCAUACGGGUUGAAGCAUGACCGUAAGGACAUGUGGACAGUAUGGGAGUGAGAAUGUUGGCAUGAGUAGCGAGAUGUGGGUGAGAAUCCCACAGGCCGUAAACCCAAGGUUUCCAGGGGAAGGUUCGUCCGCCCUGGGUUAGUCGGGACCUAAGCUGAGGCCGAAAGGCGUAGGUGAUGGACAACAGGUUGAUAUUCCUGUACUACCGAUAACCGUUUGAGAGAGGGGAUGACACAGUAGGAUAAGCUAAGCACACUGUUGGUUAUGUGUGCCCAAGCAUUGAGGCAGUCAAAGUAGGCAAAUCCGCUUUGAUAAUGCUGGGAUGUGAUGGGGAGCGAAAUUUAGUAGCGAAGUAGCUGAUUUCACACUGUCAAGAAAAGUCUCUAUCGAGGUUAAAGGUACCCGUACCGCAAACCGACACAGGUGGGUGAGGAGAGUAUCCUAAGGCCAGCGAGAGAACUGUUGUUAAGGAACUCGGCAAAAUGACCCCGUAACUUAGGGAUAAGGGGUGCCACCAUCAGGUGGCCGCAGAGAAUAGGCCCAAGCGACUGUUUACCAAAAACAUAGGUUUCUGCUAAGUCGCAAGACGAUGUAUAGGAGCUGACGCCUGCCCGGUGCUGGAAGGUUAAGGGGAUCUGUUAGAGCAAUCGAAGCAGUGAACUUAAGCCCCAGUAAACGGCGGCCGUAACUAUAACGGUCCUAAGGUAGCGAAAUUCCUUGUCGGGUAAGUUCCGACCCGCACGAAAGGCGUAACGAUUUGGGCACUGUCUCAACAACAGACUCGGUGAAAUUGUAAUUCCGGUGAAGAUGCCGGAUACCUGCGACAGGACGGAAAGACCCCAUGGAGCUUUACUGUAGCUUGACAUUGGGUCUUGGUACUACAUGUACAGGAUAGGUGGGAGGCUUUGAAACCAGGACGCCAGUUUUGGCGGAGCCAUCCUUGGGAUACCACCCUUGUAGUACUGGGACUCUAACCAUAGGCCAUGAAUCUGGUCUUGGGACACUGUCAGGUGGGCAGUUUGACUGGGGCGGUCGCCUCCCAAAAGGUAACGGAGGCGCUCAAAGGUUCUCUCAGUACGGUCGGAAAUCGUACGUAGAGUGUAAAGGCAAAAGAGAGCUUGAUUGCAAGACAUACAGGUCGAGCAAGGAUGAAAAUCGGACUUAGUGAUCCGGUGGUUCUGCGUGGAAGGGCCAUCGCUCAACGGAUAAAAGCUACCCUGGGGAUAACAGGCUUAUCUCCCCCAAGAGUCCACAUCGACGGGGAGGUUUGGCACCUCGAUGUCGGCUCAUCACAUCCUGGGGCUGUAGUAGGUCCCAAGGGUUGGGCUGUUCGCCCAUUAAAGUGGUACGCGAGCUGGGUUCAGAACGUCGUGAGACAGUUCGGUCCCUAUCCGUCGCAGGCGUAGGAAAUUUGAGAAGACCUGUCCUUAGUACGAGAGGACCGGGAUGGACGUACCUCUGGUGUACCAGUUGUCCUGCCAAGGGCAUGGCUGGGUAGCUAUGUACGGAAUGGAUAAGCGCUGAAAGCAUCUAAGCGCGAAGCCAACUUCAAGAUAAGAUUUCCCACCGCAAGGGUAAGACCCCAGAAAGACUAUCUGGUUGAUAGGUCGAAGGUGUAAGUGCAGCAAUGUAUUUAGCUUAUCGAUACUAAUAGGUCGAGGACUUGACCAA